Molecule: long non-coding RNA, 219 nt
Filed under: Vigna radiata
Lineage: Eukaryota; Viridiplantae; Streptophyta; Magnoliopsida; Fabales; Fabaceae
Description: long non-coding RNA (VRAD_LNC004580)
Source: RNAcentral
AACAAUUAAAAUGAAAGAAAAAAAAGAGUUACAAAAUUAAAUAUUAAGAAAAUAAUUUGGAUAUUAUUUUGAUUAACUUAAUUAAGGUUUACCUUCAUCAUAAAUUUAAGUAUUUUUAGUUAAGUUAUUAUUAUUUUUUUAUUAAAUACUUAAAAAUUUUAUAUUUUUCCAUUGAAUCUCUAUUAUUAUUUUUUCUAUUUGAGUUAAGUAGUUGAUAUC